RNAcentral lists this non-coding RNA (562 nucleotides) under Cucumis melo (muskmelon). Its description in RNAcentral is "Eukaryotic small subunit ribosomal RNA". It matches the Rfam family "Eukaryotic small subunit ribosomal RNA", at positions 106 to 600 of the family's 1831-position model. Lineage: Eukaryota; Viridiplantae; Streptophyta; Magnoliopsida; Cucurbitales; Cucurbitaceae. The record is from Rfam by way of RNAcentral. RNAcentral also lists the same sequence under 1 other name.
AUGCUGUCUUUGGCGAUGCAAGAUAUCUUGCGAUUGCUUCGUGCUUGGUGGAUGGGUUUCAUUGGAGUACCACGUCUAACCGUCAGACGGGGAGAGAGAGCGGGAUGUUGAGUUGGUCCUACUUGGAUUUGCUUGCUUGGAUAAUGCUUGCACCUUGUUGUGGGUAUAUUCUCGACGUGCUUGUCCAUGAUGAUACACGAUGCCUUGCGAUUGCUUCUUGCUUGGUGGAAGGGUUUGGUCGAAAUUGAUGGAAUGUUAGGCCUCUACGUCAGUCGGGAAGUGAGAGCGGGAUGUCGAGUUAAUGUACUUGGACGUUCUUGCUUUGAUAGAGAAUUAGGGUUCGAUUUUGAAAAGGAAGCCUGAGAAACGGCUACCACAUCCAAGGAAGGCAAUAGACGCGCAAUUACCCAGUCCUAACAUGGAGAGAUAGUGACAAUAAAUAACAAUACCGGGGUCAUCAAGUCUGGUAAUUGGAAUGAGUACAAUCUAAAUCCCUUAACGAGGAUUAAUUGGAGGGCAAGUCUAGUGCCAGUUGCCGUAAUAAUUCUAGCUCCAAUAGCAU